Heterocephalus glaber (naked mole-rat) is the source of this 20239-nucleotide long non-coding RNA. The record is from Ensembl. Lineage: Eukaryota; Metazoa; Chordata; Mammalia; Rodentia; Bathyergidae.
GCUACAGGAGGGUGAUUAUUUCUCUAAUGUGAUUUGCUUCCUGUUGCUAAAACAGUCCUUUGAAAUGAGGUUGUUUGCUAAGUGAGGCAUCUCCUUCCUCUUUCUCCUGUGGAUGAAUUACAGAGUAAGAAGAAUCAUUCUGAGGCUCCUCACUGUGAUGGACUGAGGAGCCUUAUUUAUUCCCUGUGGAUAGUGGCCUGCCACUGGAGAGCCACAGGCUGGAGUGACAGAGCUGACUCAUGGGGUAGGGAGAAAAUGGCCUGGAUCACUGACAGAGGAAUCAAACUCAGGACCUUGUGCUUGCAAGGCAGGCGGCAGAACUACUGAGCUAAAUUCCCGGCCCACAAUGUUCAUUUUCAUUGCUGUGAUUACAUUACACUGGGGGAAAACAACUGUUGGCAAGGAUGUGGAGAAAAGGGAACCCUUGCACACUGUUUGUGGGAAUGCAAAUUCGCACCACCAUUAUGGAAAACAGCAUGGAGGUUCCUCAAAAAAUUAAAAACAGAGCUAUCGUAUGAUCCAGCUAACCCACUUCUGGGUAAAUAUCCAAGGGAAAUGAAACCAGUAUGUUAAAGAGACAUCUGCUCUUCUGUGUUCAUUGCAACACUAUUCACAAGAGCCAAGAAAUGGAAACAAGAAAUGGAAACAAGCUACGUGUCCGUCACUGGAUGAGUGGUACCGGGGAUCAAACUCAGGACCUUGCACUUGCAAGGCAGGCAGCAGCACCACUGAGCUAAAUCCCCAGCCCUAUUAUACAUUUUUAAAAGUUGCAGAUGGGUGACUGCUGCCUGAUCCUGGGUGAGAGGCAUUUUCUUUGCCAGUUGUCCAAAGAAUGGAAAUUUCCUGCAGUUUCACAGACAUAAUGGAUAUAUGCUGACUUUUUAAAAGCCAUCUGUUACUAGGGGCAAAAAGAAAUAAAAGAGGAAAAUACUUACUUUUAGACUCUCUAAUAUACGUGAAAAAAAAUCUUCCUAAAGAAAUGAGCAAAAAAAAAAAAGAAAGAAAGAAAAGAAAAGAACAACAGUCUUCAUAAAUCUGGAUCCUAGUACUCAUAUUGCAGGUUACCAGGUUCCAAGUGGCAUCUUAAGACCGGGAGGACACAAGGAACAAGGUGCAGCCUAAUCUGAAGAACAAGUUCCUACGGAUGUGGACCUUGAGCAUCAGCUGGGCAGAAUGAAGUGAGACAGAAGCUGUCUCCUCGCUGAGUCUGGCAGCCAAAGAGGCUCAGGGGCCCGGACCCAGGAUGAACCUCAUGGGAAACCUCUUGGACCUCACCUUGCAGAUUCUACCAACUUUGCUACUAGGCUGUAACCUUGAUGAAUGGAAAAGGUUUGACCCUGACAAUUUAAAAAAGGAACAGCUUUAUCUACUAUUGCAACAUGACUUGUGUUCAGUAUGAACUGGGAAAUGGUGAAGGAUGGGUAUGGGGUGGCACUUUAAGUUAUGAGACUAGUCUUUAGUUAUAGUGUUUCUGCUUGAAACAUAAGAGGUGGAAUGAAAAUCCCCUUUGUUCAAGCCUUUGUGACCUUUUGUCACAAGGAAGACCUAGAAACUAUGGUUCUCAGUGUUGGUCUCAGCUGCUGACAUAUUGAACAUUCAGCAGUGGCUGUAACCAGAUCACCCUUUGUGGGUGGAAGUCCAUGUUGCUGAGUUCCUAUGUAACCUUCAUCCGUGCCACCAUGGCCACUUUGUUCAUGAGCCCAUUGAGCAGUGAUGGGGCUGGCUGAAGAAAAAGAUUGACUGUUAUCCACAGAACGGGUCAUCCUAUCCACUGGAUUAUUUAAGUCUUCUUCUGCUGAGAUCACCUUUGGUGAGCAUUUAUGUGGAACACAAAUAUCUUUAUGUUCUUUGUCUAAAUGGAGAGGUCUAGUCAUAUACCUCAUUCCCAAAUAUCUUUGUCACCAGUUUUCUAGUCACGUUCCUUCCAAGUCCCUGACCAUCUGGCCAGACCAUUGGCUACAGCCCAUGAAUCAGUAUAUAGUUGCACAUCUGAUCAUUCUUUUCUUCCUAGAAAAAUGUGCAAUCAGGGGCACUGUCUUAAUCUGUGCCCAGUGUGAAGAUUUCUCUUCACUACUGUUCUUCAGGGAAGUCCUGGAAAUGUGAUAGCUGUCCACUUUCAAGUGGUAGCUUCAUAACAUGCAGAGCCAUUUGUAAACCAGGACCUAGUCUUCUCUUCCUGUGCCAAUUGAUCAUGUGAUAUUCCCCAUGAGGCCGUAGGUAUAUGCUGGACAACAAAAGGCAGUAUAGCAGGAGUAGGAACCAUGGGUUUUUGGGCAACUUCUUCAUGUAAGUUACUUGUACUUUUCAAAACUGUUCAGGGUUGAUUGUGUAUUUACUACUUCCAUUUCAUGGUGGACUGUUGCUGUGCAUGUUUAAGUUUAUGACUUGGAGGGUCAGAUAGUACUAUUUCAUGAUGGGCAGCUCAAGUUGCAUGGUAACCUGGUGUCCUAUGGUCAAGCUUUCAGUUUCCACUAAGGCCUAGUACCAGGCGAGGAGCUGGUUUUCAGCAAGAGUACUUGUCUGCAGAUAAUUGCAGAGCCAUGCUCCAAAAUCCUGAAGUUUGCCACUGUGAUUCACCUAUGGGAGCCUUCCAGAGGCUCCAAAUAGCAUCACUGUUUGCCACCAACAUGUUAAGUACCAUUGGAUUAUGAGUCAGUCAGUAAAUGGGCCAGAAUAACACAGAUGAUUAGCAGAAUUAAAGGGUGUAACACACAGAAAAAGUCCCUUGAAUUUUAACAGUCAAGAAGAGUAUCUCUAGACAUUGAGAAAAACCAUACAGGGAGAAAUGUUAGGGAAAAGAAGGACACAUUUAUUAAAUAUCAACUCAAUGGAGCACUUGGCUCGUUUGUUUGUUUUAAGGUCUUGCCAUUGUUUAAAUGGCUAGCUCUACCCUCUCUCUUUUUUUUUUUGAGAUUGUUUUGUAUUCUGCAACAUCUAUUCUUCUUUUUUUUUCUUUAUUAAAUUCUUUUAUUGGUACACUGUAGGUAUACAACACAAUUACAUUUCUCAUUGGGAAUUGUACCUUUACAUAAUGCAUCUUGGUUCUUAUUUUUCCCCAUUGCUAGCCCUCCCUUCACCCCCUCCUCCCUUCCCUAUUUACAAAGACUUUAGUUCCAUUUUUUCCAUUUCUCAGCAUUUUUCCUUUCCCUUCUUUCCUUUCCCCUGCCCCUCCCACUACCCCUACCCCUUUGGACCUUUGCUUCCUAUUUUGCAUUAUUGAUUAUUCAUUCUAAUCAUUGGUACAUUUUAGGUAUACAAUAGAAUGACAUUCAUCAUUGGAAGUUUGCACCUUUCCAUUGAAAGUCUACCCUCUCUCUUAAGACUUAAGAUUGCAUGUCACUAAGGGGAACAAUUCACAUCUUUGUAAGGAGCAUGGAAAACUCGGUCCUGGGGAUAUACCCACCUUUUCUGGAAUUUUGCAGAGCACUUUCCAUCACUUGUGAUGACCCACUGCUUCUUGCGCCUACAUUCUUACCCAUGUGAAUUCCAUUCUCACCUACUCAAGUCCCAUUUGUCUCUGCCCUCUGACUUUUUUUUGGGGGGGGGGGGUACCAGGGAUCCAACUCAGGCCCUUGCACUUGUGAGGCAGGUGGUGGCACCACGGAGCCAAAUCCCUGGCCCUGCCCUCUGGCUUCUGAUAAGAGAGCUCCCUGUCUACCGUUUUAUUCAUUUGGAACAGAGUUCUUUGGCUUUACUCACCUUUCCUUUUGCUGCAAGCUUAGCCCCAUGGCUAACAGGCCCCUUCCUGUUUCUGUCUGAAAUAGGGAGCAGUCAGGGCUCUCACCAGGGGAGACCACUCAGAUAUAGCCUUAUAGACACAACUGUGUUGAACCUUCAGAGUUUUGGGUAGUGUGCUCUAGAUAGAAGUUAAGUACCAUUCAAAUGAAAAAAGUGAACUGUUGGGGUUGACAUGUAAUUUUGUGGAUCAAGUCAUGCUGAACCUCCUUCAUUUGUUCCCUCUCUGGAUGCACUCAGGCAGAUCUCACCAGAUAAAGGAGGAGACCAAGUCAGACAACAAGGAAAUUAUCCACAUCAAACCCUCUGUUGCGAGUUCAAAAUGGUUGGAUGCAGUGCUUUUCUUAUAGCAGAAGUACUAUGGGGGAGGGGAGUUGCAUGCCUGCAUUGGUGUUUUAUAGCAACUACAUGUGGCCCAGAACUUUGGGAUAUUCCUGUCCUGUCUGCAUUCCAGCCGUGUCAAGAUCUUGCUUCUGUUUUUCAUGAAAAGAGCUCUGUGCUGUUUACAUGAGCUGCAGCUUGACCCGCAGCUGUACAACUUUCUUCUUCUAUUGUCUCAGGUCAAGAUGAAUUACAGACAGAGCCUUGACCAUAAAUAUUUAAUGAUUUUUAUCUUCAAAGCAUUGUGCAAGCACACUUAGUCUUAUUUUGAAGUGCUGAGUAGGCAUCUCCGAUCUUCUUUUAUGACAUAGUUUCUUUUUUAAAUGCUAGUCGCACCCUUUAUUCUGAAUCCUUAAUACAAGGCUGAGUUGUCUUUUUAUAAUAGCUUUAUUAAGAUAUAACUCAUAUAAUCAUAAAAUUUACCCUUUUAAAAUGUAGUGCUCAGUGGUUUUUAGUAUUUUUGGAGUUGUGCAACCAUUGCCACUCUCUGAUCUUAGAAUACUGUCUUCAUCACUCUGAAACGAAAUUGAUUUUCAGUAACUCUCCAUUCUGCCUCCCUCACCCUAUCUGACCUAAAGUACCUGUGGCAGACACUAAUCUAUUUUCUGUCUUUAUACCUAUUCUGAACAGUCUCACAUGUUUCUACUUGCCUUCUUUCUCUGCUACCUGCCUCCAUGAGAAGAGCAUCCCAGGGAUUGUCCACUUAUCCCAGAAGGUGAAUGAAAGACACUUGGAAAUGGAACAGAACUUUUCACCUCAGACAAGAGCAACUGCUUCGCAAAUUACUCAGAGUAGCUUGAACUAAAUAAAUCCUUGCUGUUACAUUCCACUGAGCUCUUGUGACCAUUUGUUAUGCAGUGAUAGCUUACUAAUACAAUGGCCAUUGUUAGCAACUCAGUUUUCCAUCUUAUGUUUUCACCAUCCAAGAGAGAUGGGGACAACUAGUGUCUGGUUCCAGCUAAGGGCUCUGAUUGACCCAUCCCUAAUUAUAAGUUAACAGGUUAGCCUGGCAUAGUUUCAUGGAAGUAAGCCAACAAAAUGUGGCCAUGAAGUGACAUGGAAGUGAAGACAUUAUUGUCACUGUUAUGUGAAGGAGUGGGGACAAUUGCUGAGAAAGGAAGGGGUGCUGGACACAUAGAACAUGCAGUCAUGACCUAGGAGGGACAAUGAGGUGCUACCCAAGCAGAGUGCAACUAUGUUCUUGGCACGUUUUACUUAUGUCUGUUCAGUCAUCAGGGAGAGAGCGAGCGAGCGAGAGAGAGAGAGAGAGAGAGGACCGAAUAAUGGUAAUUUUUCCUGGGAUGAAAGUGAAGUGUGUGUGUGUGUGUGUGUGUGUGUGUGUGUGGCUAUUGGAGAUAAGAAUCUCUGGUUAAAGGGUGGGCAUGGUGGCUCACACGAAUGAUCCCAGCACUGGGGAGGCUGAGGCAGGAGGAUCGCUGCGAGUUUGAGGCCAGCCUGGGCUACACAGUGAGUUCUAGGCCAGCCUGGACUACAUAGUGUGACCCUGUCUCAAAAAACCAAAACCAAAACAAACGAACAACAACAAAUAUCUGCUGUUAACUCGGCCUAAAUUCCAAGUCAUCACUCAAAAGGUUUAAGUCAUUUGCUAUACUGAAUGUGAUUCUAUGUAUUUUUGAACAGCUGUUUAUUUUAAACUAUAUAUAAUAGUAUACAUUGUAUAAUUACUCAUACUUCUUCCUGUAUAAUAUUGCAUUACAAAACCAUAUGUACUAUACUUAAUGGGAAGUUUAAGGAAUUUUCAAGUGCAACUGUCCAUUUCCAUACCUGCAUUAAGAAGCUUUUUCUCAGAAAUUACAUGUGUCUCAGAAGGGUGGAAGACAGGACCUGAGUGAGCAAAUAUUGCUUUUUAUCAUUUGGUGAAACAAAGGCUUAAAGUAGAAAUUAAGUAGAGUUUUGGAAAAAUAUUUUUUAAAUUCAAAUGAGUUUGUGAGUUGAGAUUCACACUACAACUCUACCCUUGUUAGUCUCACAUGUUAUUAUAGAAAAUGCAGUUGAGGUAGAAAGGAAUAUUAGAUGGUAGUGACAAAGAAUGAAUUAGUGCUACACGGAACAGCAGAUGAAUCUUACAAAUAUAAUGUUGAAUGAAAAAGAUUCAUAAGAGCGUUUAGUAUAUGAUCCUGUUUAUAUUAGGUUUCACACCAGGAAAAACUAAUCAAUAAUGUUAGAAAUGUUAGAAUGAGAUAAGGAAACAGAACUUGGGCACUGGCAGGAUACCUGAGACAGUUUUGCAUCCUGGAUUCUCUUCCAGCUGAUUGAGGUCCAUGGGAGACAAGGAUGGAGGUGUCAAAUCAUCCAGAGCAGAACCUGUGUGCCAGUCCCUGGAGACGGUCUAGAAAUUCAGGGGCACUUGGGGACUUGCACACAUCAGAAGAAAUAUCUGAGUAGGUGAGUGUGAGGUAUUGCCACUAAACCCUCUGUGCUGUUCACAGCUGGGUAGGAGCAUCAGAGUAUUCUGGCACAGGUAGCGGUGGCAUGGAUAUGGUCCAGAAGGUUGGCAGCCUUGAAAUGUUUUUGUUUUCUGGGCAAGGAUGGCCCAGCACUGCCCUGCUAGACUCAGUCAUAUUGUGCAGAUGGUGGAUCAGUUGGCCCUGACAAGAUGGCACUUUUAGCCAUCACAGAAUUUUCUGGAGAAGCCAGCUCUUCAUCCUUUCUUUUAGACUUUAAAAUCUUCAUAAAAAUGCUAUGGACCUACAGAGAGUAGUAUAUUUGAGCUCAGGAUUCUAGCAGAAUCAUGGACUUGAAAACAGUCAUGAUUUCUUGCCAUGGAUUACUUCUGCUUCUCCCUGUGUCCUUUCUCUUUGGUAAUGACUGGUUUUUCUCUCCUUCUUAGUCUACAUAGAGGAACAUGCUACCAGCUGGACCAAAGUUUUAAAUGUGAAAAUGCAAAUCCAGGAAAAGAGAUCUAUCCCUCUUCCGAAGCCCAAAGUGAACAUUUUCAAGGGGAUAAGAUUGAUUAGCCUACACUGGGAUGGUGCUCUCUGAAUCGAUAGCUUGUAGCUAGAAGAACAGGAUAAUACUGUACAAACUAUGUGGCUUGAUUUUUUUGACAAGGGGAAGGCAAGAUCUACAAAAGUAGGACAAGUGGUGGGACCAACAAUGUGAGUUCAGGGUGGUCAGUCCUCUUUGGCUUCUUUUCAUGGCUGCUGAGAAAGAAGAUGGAACAGGUUCCCUGAGCCCUCAUCCAAGGAAGUAAGAAUUGAUUACUAGCUUAGCCAUUACUUUACCUUGCUUGCAGACAUGUCCUCCUUUGAACUCUCUUUGUUUUUCUUUAUCUAUCUCCAGCCUGUAGACAAAGAAGCUCUGCUGAGGCUCCCAAGUGAAAGGUGCUGUCCCAUUUUACAAAAGCCUUAGGACCAGUCCUCAGAACACUUUGGUCCUUUGCCAUCCGAGAGCAAGUACACGGAGGUGUCUUGAGGCGUUAAGCGCCAGCUUGCAGAGAUAGUGAGGUAUAUUUUAGAACCCAAACUGCUGUCAGGGAACAUAUGGAUUUUGUUAUUUCCAUCCUAGCAGCUUUCUCUCCAUGGGUUUUGACAUAUGAAUUUCAAAAGGAGGGAGUGUUUUCCUGAUUGACACCUCAGAAAUACUCUUUGUGGCAAAAUCACAAAUAUUUCCAGAUCUUGCUGGGCAUGGAGAUGGCUGAGCUGCUGGAGACAUUCUAUCAGUGUCACUUGACACAGCGUGUGAGGUCAGGCAGGGGUGAACACUGUUGGCUGGACACAAAGGUUGAGCAUUAUCUGCUCUGUGGGGGGACACAUCACACUCAGCCAGCUCAGGAGGGAGACUGACACAUGUGGGUCAUUGCACGGAGUCUUUUCUCCCUGGCAGAGCAAAGCAGGCCUGACAUUCCCGGAAGAAAAUGACACUGAAAGCAGUCAGACAAAGGCCAGGCAAGCAUUACCAAGGCUUUCUGGAAAAAGCUUUCUUCGUGGACUCACGCCAAUCAUUACUUUACUUACCUUAACUAAUUCAUUUCUUGUUUUUGUUCCUUAAUAAAAGAAAGGCAACUGUCAUUUAUUGAAUUUUUUGUGGGCUAGGAUUGGUAGUGUGCAAGAAAUGGCUUGGCCAAGCUCAGGAGAACCAACUGAACAAUUUCCAGGAAUCCUGCAAGAUAACUGUUAAACACAAGCCAUUAUUAAAAAUUAAAUUAUACUAACAUAUAAUUAAACUGUGUUAGAACAGAGGUAAUAAAUACUCAAAACUCAUCACAUUCUAAUUAUUUUACUACAUUGUACUGUUGUGCUCAUGAACUUAUUUGUAUCUACUGCAUCUGUAUGUUGGAAAUACUGUAAAAUAACUUGCUACUGUGCAUCUCUGUGAAAAUUGGCCGUAGUGGGAGGAACUAGCAAAUGUUACAAAUCUGGGCCGGUUUUAAAAAUUGUUUUCAUCCUUCAAGAUAAUGACAACAGUGGAGAAAAUGUUAAUAAUACAGAUUAAAUUAAAAAUGUAUGUUUGUAGCUGAUACACUAUCAGCUACAAAAAUUUUGGAAAAUAGUAUUUGAAACUCAUUCCUUGAUUUGGUAAAGAAGUUGUAGUUGUUCAUGUCAUUGACCCAUGACCGAAAUUCUGACAUUUUCAUCUCAUUUUUAUCUUUUGAAUGUUAACAAAAAUAUCAAACAACAUAUCUGUGUCACAGCUAUACUCAUUUGUCAGUUGCAGCCAUAGGUUGGCUGUGGAUGCAACAGUUCAACAAUUCCUUGAAAGCAUUUUGUGAGAAUUAACUGGCUAAAUGAAAUUUACAAUAAUGAAUAUAGUAUAUCUCAUUAUUAGUAGUGAAUUAUGCGUGACAUAUCUUUUUAUCAGUAGAAUUUCCAUAAACAUUUAUGAAUACUCACACAUUUUUGAGGAGGGGUAAUUAUUAGCUAUUGUUACCUUUGCUAUGAAUAUACUUCCCUCUUUACCUUGUCUUCCAAGACCCAAUUCAAAGUCUGAUCUACCCCUUCUUUCUGGUCCUAUGUUGCAGCCCUUGUUACCAGUGCAUUAGGGUUUGGGAAGUUCCCUGUACUUUCUAGAAUAAGUAGAGUGGAAGAGCAGGAACCUUGAAUAUUCAGCUCUGAACAAGUUAGAGCUGUGCUCAAUGCUUGAUACCUAGGAGUUGUCCACAAGGUGUGGGUUGAAAGAGAGAGCAAGAACCCUGGGCAGAAGUGGGGAGAAAGAGAAAAGAAAGUGGUCAUGUACGUAGAAAAGGGGCAGUGGGCAGUACUGCUACCUGCCAUGUAGGUUGACAUACUCAGGUGUGUUUGCUCACUGCUGACCAAAUCAAAGGAGGCCAUUUAUUUUGGUAAAAAAGAAAAAGGAUUUAUUCAAAGCUAGCUCUAAGGAAAUGGAGGUGCCCUUUUGCCUCCAACCCCAAGCUCACUGUGUACAGGUGUGAAGGGACAGGGAGAGGGAACACAGAGAUAAUGCACAUCUUCACCCUUGCUUUGUGGCUUCAGGCAUCUUCAGCUCCUUCUCUACUUUCUUGUAGAAAGGAAACUGGGCCCUGGCCUCCAUGGGGCUGGUAUCUGCAAUUUUGUCACUUUUGGGGGGCAGACGAGAGAAGGGCGUGUUGGUUAUGUGCUCAGUAGGAGAUGUGUGGAGAAAUGUAGAGAAGUUGCUUAUCUCUAAAAUUAAAAAAUUAUAAUUUAAAGUUCCAUUUUGUGGUGCCAGUUACAAUAGUAUAGAGCACAUUUUGAUAUUUAAGUUUACUUAGGGUUCCUGCAGUCUGUAUCGAAUGCAGCAAGUUUUGGCUGAUCAAACCACAACACUGAUAAACUGGAUUUGUUUGGAAAUGACCUAGACUUUACAAGAGCAAGACAAGUCACCAGCUAAUCAUAUCACUUAAGGUACUUGACAUGAUCCUGGCUGAGCUCAGCUCAGUGAUUAAAUCCUUCCAGACAGUUUUUUCUUUUUAAGCAACAGUCACUGAACACCUAUUUGAAUGUGGUAGGCACUAGAUUUUCCACAUGUCCUAUGUAAGAGACAACAUCAGAAGCCCAUGAGAACCUGCUUUCCUCCGAGGAACUUGUCCUGUUGUAUAUCCUGGCUGCAAAGCCCCUCCUCACACCCCUGUGGAGGGGCUUGGGUGCCAGUCCUCCUAUUCAAGAAGUGUUUUCAGUCUUCUCAUCCCAGCCAUUAUUGAGUAGCUGGCUGAGUUUCCUGUCCAAGAAGGACACAAUUACCUGCCUCCCACAAUAUACAUCCAGCCAGGAUCAGCUUACUCGUGGCCAGCCAGCCACUCCCCUAAGAGGAGCAGUUGCCGAUAAGCUUGGAAAAAAACAAGUCUCCCUUUAUCUCCUAUUACCUCCAUCACAUUGGUCGUAAAUAAGGUCAGCCGGGAUCUGUCUAGCCUCCAGCCAUGGCCCAGUGUAAAGUAGAUAUGUCAAAGAAAAUGGGAAAAAUCUUUUACACUCCUUCCAUACUUUCUCUCAAGUCACUCAAAGAGCCAAAUGAAAUAGGGUGUGGGUCUUCAUUUCCCAUCGUGCAGUGGAUCCUCCUUUUGUCUUUGUCCUCUGCUAGUUUAUUCUUAAUUCAGAGGCCAGAAGGUUCUAGUUAAAAGGCACACCAGACUAUGUCAAGCCUUUACUCAGAACCUCCAAUAGCUCCAACUGCAAUCAGAAGCUGUGACUGAAGACUCUUGUAUCCCAACCCCUUGUGAAUCUGAUUUCCUACUGGUUCCUUCUCCUCAGCAGCCUCAAUAAUCUUGUUCCUUGAGCUCAUCACCCCACCCUCACCCCCCACCCAGAGCCUUUACUUUCCUUGUUCCUUCUGCCUGGGACAUUCAUCUCCCAGCUAGCCACAAGGCUUCCUCCCUCACUUCCUUUACUCUGUGUGAACCUCACCUUGUCAGUGAAGUCUACUAUGAUGUGCACAGAAGACCUUACCUUUCCCUCUGCUGCUGGUCCUCAUCGCCCUGUUCUAUCAUUCCCAUGGGAUUUACCAUCUUCUAGCAUAACAUAAUUUAUAUAUUGAAUCUGUUUAUAGGUUUUCUCUCCCCAGUAUAAAUGUAAGCUUUAAGAAGCCAUAGAGGGGCCAGGGAUUUAGCUCAGUGGUUCCGGUGCCUGCCUCGCAAGCACAAGGUCCCAAGUUCAAUCCCCAGGACCAAAAAAAAAAAAAAAAAGAAGGCAUAGAUUACGUCCUUUUAGUUUGCUGAUGCAUCUCAAAAAUGUCUAAAACACGAUAGAUAAUAGAAGCUCAAUAAAUAUUUGUCAUAUGAUGUAUACUUCUUAAAUUGAGGAAUCUAGGGGCACCUCAAAGUUAAUGAACAUUGUGGAGGCAUCUGGGACUAAAAAUCAGUUUCCUCCAUGCUAGAACCCACAUCCAUCAUCUAAUCCUCAUUUCCUUUUUAUCAACAACAGCACUUAGGGGAAAAUACCAGAGAGUUCCCUAUGGAGCUGAGUAGAUAGAUUUUUUUUUAAUAUUUAUUUGUUCAUCAAGGUCAAGGAUGCCAUAUGAAAACUCUGUAAGUAUUUUUUUCACAUUAAUACAUUUUCCUGAAAAUGUCCGUGAAUUUGGAUGAUUUUAUAUUCAUAUGCCAAUACUUGAAGAAUAAAUCUCAAACAAGGAGUCUUUGUUGUUAGUAGUGGUGUCUGUGGAGGUGGAGACAGGGAGGUGCAGUUGCGGAGGAGAAAUAUAGAAACAUUAGUUUAAUCAUGUGGGCUACUCUGUUAAUAAAGCUAGUGCCUCCUUUAUGACAAGGAGCUCUGGAAAACCAAAUAGAAAAUUGCUUUCCUUUAAAGAGAUCUACUGAGUCAUCGUCUGAAUCCCCUCUCUGCUACUUCUCACUUGGACUGCUGGUGAUUUUACUCCUAAUUUAUCUAAAGGGAGCUUAUGAAUCAUCAUCAAGAUUAAUUUCCAUUAGCUCCUCUAUCACUAAACACCGAAGUAACCUGUUGUAGUUAUCUAUUGCUGGAUAAUAAAUUACCCCAAAAUUUAGUACGUUAAAACAGCAACCAUUUCAUUUGCUUACAACUCUGUGCUUCUGUAAUUUAGAGUUCAGCUGGGUGGUCUUCCUGUUCCAGGCAAUGCUCACUGUGAUCACUCAUUGGCUGUAUGCAUCUGGUGGCUGGGACCAGCUGAAACUGAUGAAUCUGCCAAGUUGUAAAGCAAGCAGCAGUCCAUUGUAAGAUGAAAGUGAGGCACCGGGGACUCAACCAACACUCAAAGACUAGUGGGCAUGUUUAGGUUGAGCAAGCAGGGAGCUCAGAUCCCUCAUGGCAUCCACCACAGUUACCAGCACAUCUCCCUCAGCAGACAUAAGGCCAUUGGAAGGAGAAGAAAAAAAAAUGGUUUAGGUAAGUUUACAUUUGGCUUGGAUCAGUGUGAGAAUACAGCCUGAAAAUGAAAAACCACCAUAUAACAACCACACUCAAGAGUGACUUUGAAAGAAAAUGGGGAAAAAAAGAGAAUGAAAAUCUUAUCACUGAGUGGAGCUAUAAUUAGAGCAUCUGGCCACUAAUGUUAUGGAAAGACAAGUGGUCCAAGCUGAGUAUGACUUAAUGGAUUGGUUCGAGGUCUAGAAGGAAAAUGACUGGAAAAUUGGAGACAAAGAGGUCUGGGGUGGAGCCACGUGGCCAGACCUACAGGAGUGGGCAUGAAGUAUGCGCAUGUUAAUGUGACAUGUUAAUGUCCACUGGAAAGCAUCCACUACAGAAGUGACAUUGGACAAUUUACAUUAGCUAGCCUUCAUCAUUAGUUCCCUCAGAACAGGCUUGAUGGACUGUCAAAAGAAAUGGCCAUACUGGUGAAAAAGAGCUUCCAUAUGGACCCAAAUGCAAAGACUUCCACUGAAGAAGACUGAUGCAGAUAUCGCCUUCUCUGAAUGUCCAAACUGCUGACAACAAGGACCAAUCCUGAGCCCCAGUAUGCUUCCUUGACAAUUUGUCCUCAUAUCAAUAGACACCUAUUCUGAGUGUGAGUCUGCCUUUCAUGUCUGCAGAGCUUUAUGUAGCAACAUUAUCCAGUGGUUUAUGUGGAAACUGACUCACAGCGCAGGCAUCAGGAAUUUAGGGUUCAGAGCCACUCUGGCCCACACCUGGAGAGUUUCCUUCCUCCUGGGAUUCCCAGGGAAAAGCAUGGCUUUCUCUAGACUCUCAGGUGUAAGUCCUUCCUUUCUGCUUUAGAGGCUCCACAUUAGGAAGAUCAGGAUCAGAGCCUCACUCAAACACUCACCCACGCCUAACAUUCUUACUCUCUCCAGUCUUUCUCCUUCCUGCCUUAUCCACUUAUCUCUUCAAGUCUGAAAAUUACUUUAACAUUGUAUCUGUGUCUUCUCAAGUCUAUGGUUCAAAGUAUAAAUCCUGUGGUUUGCUAGUCCUCUAAUAUUGGCUUUAGAUAUUUAAACCCUAGUUUCUGGAACUCUCAUCAAACUAACUUCCUUCCUUUCACUUCUCCUCAUUGUCUUCCUCCCUCUUGUCUUCUACCUUUGAGUUCUAAAAUCUCAAAAAAGCCUGGUCCUUGCAAUAAGAAAACACUGUCUAUUGUGUGUUAAAAAUUCCAUUCAGCAAACCAGUUGACUUAUUUGAACCAGGAUAUAUAAAAAUUUUUUUGAACUUCAGACAUAUAUCACAGUCUCUUCCCAGCUGAGAAUUUAUCCUGUUCUAGGCCCAUGAAACAUUUCCUAAGGGUGAUCAGUUAUUAAGCCAUAAUAAAAAGUUUAAUACAUUCCAUCAUUCAGGCCACAAUCUUCGAUCACUAUGCAGAGAGAUUUAACAUUAAUGCCAAAACUUAAAAGAAUAAAAUCCCACCACACUCUUACAUAGCUUUUGGAUCAAAGAGAAAUCAAAAGAGUGAUUGCAGGUUAUUUAUAAAACAAUGAUAAGAAUACUACAUAAGUGAGGUGGCCAAGAUUGUGCAUAGGAACAAUUAGUUUUAGAGGCUUUUGUAAUUAAACAAAGAAAAGAAUACAAAUAAACUGUUCAAGUAGAAGUUAAAAACAGAGCCAACAAAUACGACUAUGGCAAAUAAAAGAGGAAAUUGAUAAAGACUAAAGUAGAAAUUAGCAGUUAGAAGAAAGCCAGUAAAUUUGAUAGAUAAAUAAAUAAAAUGGUUCUUUAAAGUAUUAGAUAAAAAAGAAAAACUUUUUCCAAAGCCAAUCAAGAAAAACAAGGGGAAAAACCAAGCAAUUGGAGUGAGGACAGAUAUAUAACCACAGCUAGCAGAGAGAUUUAUGUUUUAUUAUGUAGAUUAUUAUGCUGAACUCUACUAAAACUUAUGAAGUCUGGGAAAAUGAAUGAUUUUCCAAUAAAAUAAAUUAUCAAAAUUUGUUAAGGAAUAAAAUGUAAAUAUACUCAUGAUCAUAAAAGAAAUUUUAAGAGUUUUCGGAGCUCUCCAAAAAUAUGCAUAGCUUUUACAAGCCAGAUCCAAUAGAACUUCACUGAGCAUAUAAUUGUCAUAGAAUUUAAACUGUUGCAGAAUUUCACUUCAUUUUACUAAAUUAGCAUAGUCUUGAUCUCUAAAUGUGUAGCAAGAAUCUACUAUAAUCUCAGAUGUGAAUAUAUUUCACGAAUUUUAAGUAAAGUAUUAGCAAAACAAAUCAAUAGUAUAACAAAAGAAUAAUGUGGCCUGGGAUUUAGCUCAGUGGUUUCGGUGCCUGCCUCGCAAGCGCAGGGUCCCGAGUUCAAUCCCUGGUACCCCCCCCCCCAAGGAAAGAAAACAAAAGAAUAAUGUAAUAUGAGUAAAGUUUUUCUGAGAAUGGAGGCAUAGUUCAAUAAUGGAAAAUCUCAGACAUUAGUGGAAAAUAAAUUGAUGCAGCCUUUUAGGGAGGGCAGUUUGAUUAAAUUCUAUCAAAUUUAGGAAUGCAUUGAAUCUGUGCCUUAGUCCCCUUAUAGUUACCUGUACUUAAAGAAAUAUGGGUACAAGAUGUUUGCACAAGAACCCUCUUUUUUUCUUGAUAGUGAGACAGAGAGAGAGACAGACAGACAGAGAGACAGAGACAGAGAGAGGAAACAACUUAAAUAUCCAUUAAUAAGAGAAUGACUAAGUCACAGUGUUACACUAAAAAGUACAAGGUAGUAUUUUAAAAGAAUGGGUUACUCUGUACCAAAACAGAAAAAUCUCUGCUACAUUAAGUAAACAAGACAACAAAACCAAACCAUUACUGGAGACCUCUCAGUAGGUUCCAGUCUCCUGCCCAGUAUACGAUGCAGAGCUGAAGAAAGACUCAAAAACAGAAUUAAAGAAAAAAGUGGGGAGCCAGGAUGGCCAGUGCUGAGCAACCAGGAAGGCCAUGGUCACUGAUUUUUAUUGGUAAUCAAAUUGGGAUAAAGGGUAACUAUGUGCUAAGAUGUGCAGUUGUGCAGUUGCUAUGAAUACUAAUGCAGGUAAGGCUUGUAAAGGAAAAGAUAAAGCAUUCUUGAAGUAAGAUCAGAACAGAGAAAAUAUAGGGUUGUAAUUAGUACCUUGUCCUUCUAGUUAAGAAGGUUUUAGUUGUGAGAAUGGAAUUUGGGUGCGAGUUACUUUGACCUCAGCUACUAUAUUAUCUCAUAUUGAGCCCCAUAGCUUCACAGAACAUUUCUCUGGUCUCUGCUGGGGCCGUUAGUGGGAAGGUCAUGCUAACCUGUGCGCUACUGCAGUGCUUAGGAGGUGCUUCUAUGAGUCACAUAAGCUUCAGACUCUCUUCUUAAAAUGGGCCAAUUGAGGGGUUAACUCUUUAUAGCCUGCACUGCUUACAGCCCACUUUGGGCAUAAUCAGUAGGGUGGCUCCCUACAAACCCCAAAUAUAUGAACUAAAUAAUAUUAUAUAAUGAUCCUAUUAAUGUAAAAAAAACUGUAGAGCCACAAAUGUGUGCACUUACCUGAGUAUGUAUAAAUGAAGAUAGCUCUAUCUAUAGAAGAUAACUCAAGAGGUGAGGAUGGGGUUGAUGACAUGGUACUGGGUGGCAAAGAGAUGUCAUUUUUUUUCCAUAUAGGUCCUGCAUUGUUUCACAUUUUCACAAUGAAGCUAUGCUCAGGGGUCACUUGUGUAACUAAAAUAGUAAAGAGUCAAAUAACACAUUUUGUAAUAAUUCAUUCCAUCAAUAAUCAAAAGAGGAAAAAAUCCUUAUACUUGAUGGUUUCCAGAAAAGCUUCUACCUCCUGCUAAUUCUUUUUAAAACUAAUUUUUUUGGGGGGUACCAGGGUUCGAACUCAGAACCUUGUGCUUGCGAGGCAGGCAGUGGAACCACUGAGCUAAAUCCCCAGCCCCUUAAAACUAAUCUUAAGAAAGAAAAAAGAAACUUUUAAAGUAAGAUCAAGAAUAUCAAGACAAUGAUUAUCAUCAUACUUAACAGUGGAGGGUUAAAGUAGUACCUAAUAAAGUUGGGCAGAUGGACUGGGAGGUCAGUAAUAUAAUUAUUGAACACUUAACAAUUUUGGUCAAUUCAAUUCCAUAGGAAAAGAAGAAACAGUAACCUUGAGAGAGGAAAGGAGUGUGGUGGGGGGAGAGAGAGAGUAUUAAUGUGUUAAGAAGGAAUAUAAAAUUGUUACUGUUUACAGGUAUGAUAAUCUCCAGGGAAAACCCAAGAGGUUCAACAAUAAAAGAGCACUUGCAUACGCCAAGGGCUUCCUGGCUGCCAGCCCUCUGCUCAGUCUUCAUAGACACAGUCUCAUUUAAUUCCCAAGAACCCUACGAUGCACAUUUAUCGUUUCUGUUCAACAGACAAGGAAAACUAUGUGCCUCAAAGGUUUAGGAGGCAGUGAGUGGUGAAGCAGCUGAGCCCAGAUUUAACCUGAGCUCUGAAUCUGGAGCUGGUUGAGAUCCUGCAGCCUGAAUGCACACUGUUUAAAAGCCACAGGGUAUCUUUUAAUAAGAAGACAACUAUAAUAGAGAAAAAGAUAUAAUAAUAAACACUUUAAAGUGGUGGUGUUUAUAUAGAAUAUCAAAAGCUAAUUUGGAAAUAUCAGGAAAAAUUACGUUCUAUGUGCCAUGGCGACCAGAAUUAUGUUAACAGCACACUUAAAAAUACCAGUAAAAGAAAACUUCAAAACUUUACCGAGAGACAAAGAAAAAACUUGAAUACACAGAGACAUGCUCAUCUGUAACUUGCAAGUCAAUAUUGAAUAUAUUUCAGUUGUACUCAAACCAACCCACAAAUAUAAAUUCUUAACAAAUUAGCAGUUUUGUCAGAACCUGACCAAACUACUCUUUUAAGAAAAAUGUUUAAUUUCAAGAGCUCAUUGUAUUAAACAAAUCAGAAAUACGUCACAUAAAACAUUUCCUCCAGAAGUAAACACUGUAAACAUUGUUAUUUGAAGCCCCCCUCAGAAUCCUGCUCUUUUAGCAUAAUAAAGACAAAUGACAUGCAGAGAAUGGCUUAGAGUAGGUCAUGAGGGCAUAUUACUAAGUUUUUAGGAAUUUUGUGAACUGGUUGAUAAACAUAGGCAAUAUGAAGAUCAUAUUAUAUAAACUAACAAUAAGUUAUUUAAAAAGCGUAAGUAAAACAUUUUUAAAGUUCAUUUCUUUCGAAUUAUUUUAUUAAAUGAUGUUAGCUAUGUGUGCUUCUAAGGUACUUUACAUGUAUUUUGUCUGAAUGAUGGACAUGCUAAACAGUGGUCUGCUGUUGUUCUCCUCCCAAUUCUGUGAGCAGUGACAUCAUGUUAGCAGGUUGCAACUGACUAUGGUGGGGAUACUUUGACCAUGGAGGGUGGCUGUGUUUGUCAGCUUUCUGUUACUAUAACAAAUGGCUAGAAUAAUCAAUUUCAAAAGAGAAAGGUUUAUUCGGCUUAUAGCUUUGGAAGUUUCACCCCAGGAUCAGAUGGCCCUGUUGCUUUUAGGCCUGUGAUGGCACAUCGUGGGGGGAUCCUGAGGUGGAGAAAAAACACCCAUGCAUGCCUGGAAGGCAGGAAAGAUCAGGAUCCCACCAUCCCCUUCAAGGGCACACCCCCACUGACCUGAAGACCUUCUCUCAGAACCCACUCCUUGGAGUUUCCACCGCCUCCCAGCAGCACCAAGCAGAGGCCCAAGCCUUUAACGCAUGGGCCUGUGGGGGCCACUCCAGAUCCAAACUGUAGCACUGACAAAUGCUACUGACCACAGUCUUUUCAGAGCUGGUUAUUAAACAUUGAACUCAGUAGCAGGAGUCAUAUGUAUUUUAUCUGUGUGUGUAUGCACGUGGUUCAAUAAAAGAGGGGAAAAAAAUCAUAUCUCACCUCCCUACUUAAAAGUAGAAUAAAUGAGGAUGACAAAUACAACUUGUUUCAUAAUCAGUACUAAUGAGGUAGAAAAGGAUUCCUUGCGGCAAAGAACUUAAAAGAGUUAUCACACUUAAACAUGUCAUGAAUUUUUCUUUUAUAAAAGACAGUGUUUUCAAUCUACUAAUCUUUUCCAGGAUGAAAGUAGGGUCAGUAAAAUGCACUUCAAAUUAUUUGGAAAAAACAGAUAUGCUUGUCUUUUCAAGGCACAAAUUACAUUGUAACAAAGAGUGGGGGAAUAACAGCCUUUUGGGAAUAACAGCCUUUCGAGAUAAACUCAUGCUUUGGAGAGAGUAUGCUGGAAAUGGGCAGAAGAUAUACCUCUAGAGUUGUGUGAUUUUGGGGGCUGAAAAUGAUGUAAGUGAACAGUCUAUAAAAAGACUAUAUCUGCUUACUUUAAAAACUUGGAAAUAGGAUAUUCUACUGUGCUUCAGUCUUCUGAAAUAAACUAACUUGCUAACAAUGUGGAAAGAUAAAAGCUUCCAAUUAUUUGGCAGAAACAACCAGCAGCCAUCAGGAAUAAUGGAAAUUGUUAGCUGAAUCUCAACAAAGACAUUUGCAUAUUGGUGAACAAAACUGCAAAUGAGUAUCACUAUUACUGGAGCAUAGUCUAUAAAAAUACUGCUUUCAUUUGGUGUCUUGCGUGAUGGUGAAGCUGCUUUUCACUUAUUUCAAAACCAAUUACUGGAAUAAUCUGAGUUUAGAAGGAGAAUUGGGAGGGGCUGAGUAUCACAGAGCAUUGAGUCAAGAUUGUAAAAUAAAGAAAUAACAUUUACCUUUGUUAAAACACAUUUUUAAGUGAGAGAAAAAUAUCCUGUACCUUAACAAUGAAGUUUAAAAGUAUUUACUUGAUAUUUAAAUUUUCCUUUUAAAAUUCCGCAGUGUGGAAUUGGACCGGCAGCAUCCCCGGGGAGCUGGUUAGAAAUGCAGCCUCUCCUGCGACUGCAUGACAGCCCCCACCUAACUGCUUCGAGGAAUCGUGUGCAUUGACAAGUUCUGGCACAAGCACCAUCGGGGCUACUUUGCUGUUUGGUGGGUGGGCAGUUGAUGGGGUUGGGAGUGGUCAAUUUGUCAGGUUGGAGAUUUCAAAGACGGGUAAUUCUGGACAUUUUGAAUGGAUAGUAAUCUUAAAACAAUUGUCAGAAGUAGAUGGAGACUCGCUGCAUAUAAUUCCCAACCCUACUGUAUAAAAGCACUAAAUAGCAGACAGUUCUAUUACGGUAUUUCUUGUAGCCUCCUGGUUAGUUCUUACAAGAUGGUUGUUAUAAAAGCCUGAGCUGGUGCUGCCCUCUCUCCCUGGCUUCCUGUUUCUAGAUGUGGUCUCUUCCUCCCACAUUGUCUCCGCCAUCACCAACUGCCAUGGGGCAGCCAGGGUUGCUGCCAUAGUGUUUGGACUUUCAGCCUCCAAACUGGAAGUGAAAAACCCUCUUUAUAAAGUUAGCCUGCCUCAGGUAUUUUUUAUACUAGUGAGAAAAAGACCAGUGCAUGAGCUAAUAUAUGACAUUAACUUUUUAUUUUACUCUUUUUAAAUUUUAUAUAUUUAUUUAUUUUUGGUACCAAGGAUCGAACUCGGGUCCUUGCGCUUGGGAGGCAAGCGACGGAACCACUGAGCUAAAUCCCCAGCCCUAUAUGACAUUCACUAUGGGCCAGGUGCUAUCCUAAAUUCUCCCUGUGAAUUAAUUAUUUAAUCCUCUUUCACCCUAGGAGGUGGAUCUAUUGUUAUCCUCAGUUUACAGCCAAGGAAGCUGAAGUACAGAGAAAUUAUUUGCUCAGAGUCAGAGCUAAUAAAUAGUGAAGACAGGAUUUGGACAUAGUCCAGCUCCACAGCCUAAGCUUUUAACCAUUAUGCUGCACUGCACGGGUAUAAAAUAAAUAAAUAAAUAAAUAAAUAAAUAAAUUCCUAUAUAUUAUGGAUGCACCCUCAAAUAAUUUUAUUGAUGGAAAAGUGAUAAAAAGG